RNAcentral lists this ribosomal RNA (445 nucleotides) under uncultured bacterium. RNAcentral describes it as "partial 16S ribosomal RNA". It matches the Rfam family "Bacterial small subunit ribosomal RNA", at positions 354 to 796 of the family's 1533-position model. The record is from RNAcentral.
GUGAGGAAUAUUGCGCAAUGGAGGCAACUCUGACGCAGCCAUGCCGCGUGCAGGAAGAAGGCGCUACGCGUUGUAAACUGCUUUUAACCGGGAAGAAACCCCAGGACGUGUCCUGGGUUGACGGUACCGGAGGAAUAAGCACCGGCUAACUUCGUGCCAGCAGCCGCGGUAAUACGAAGGGUGCAAGCGUUAUCCGGAUUCAUUGGGUUUAAAGGGUGCGUAGGCGGAGCGUUAAGUCAGUGGUGAAAUCCUGCAGCGUAACUGUAGACUUGCCAUUGAUACUGGCGCUCUUGAGUGCGCUUGAAGUGGGCGGAAUGUGCCGUGUAGCGGUGAAAUGCUUAGAUAUGGCACAGAACACCAAUUGCGAAGGCAGCUCACUAAGGCGAUACUGACGCUGAGGCACGAAAGCGUGGGGAUCGAACAGGAUUAGAAACCCCAGUAGUCC